ACACCUCAACUCCUCAUGGUUUGCCAUGAUGAGCUUGGACCUUGGGGGUAUUGCUGGCCCUGUGGUUGGCUCCUCUCAAAUGGAUCAGCUUGCCAGUGUUUGGUGGCAUCACGGGUGUGAUAAAUAUCUACGCUUGUGGUUUCCACCAUGCAACCUUCAGUGAUGAGGGUGCGCUGGAGCUCACAAAUGUCCCUCCUCAGUGAGGACAGCUUUUUGAU
This 218-nucleotide unclassified non-coding RNA is filed under the name uncultured Thelephoraceae. RNAcentral describes it as "sequence contains ITS2". Lineage: Eukaryota; Fungi; Basidiomycota; Agaricomycetes; Thelephorales; Thelephoraceae. The record is from RNAcentral.